This 253-nucleotide ribosomal RNA is filed under the name uncultured bacterium. Its description in RNAcentral is "partial 16S ribosomal RNA". It matches the Rfam family "Bacterial small subunit ribosomal RNA", at positions 524 to 776 of the family's 1533-position model. The record is from RNAcentral.
UACGAAGGGGGCUAGCGUUGCUCGGAAUCACUGGGCGUAAAGCGCACGUAGGCGGAUUGUUAAGUCAGGGGUGAAAUCCUGGAGCUCAACUCCAGAACUGCCUUUGAUACUGGCGAUCUUGAGUCCGGGAGAGGUGAGUGGAACUGCGAGUGUAGAGGUGAAAUUCGUAGAUAUUAGGAAGAACACCAGUGGCGAAGGCGGCUCACUGGUCCGGUACUGACGCUGAGGUGCGAAAGCGUGGGGAGCAAACAGG